Molecule: ribosomal RNA, 274 nt
Filed under: uncultured bacterium
Lineage: Bacteria
Description: partial 16S ribosomal RNA
Rfam family: Bacterial small subunit ribosomal RNA
Source: RNAcentral
AUACGGAGGAUGCGAGCGUUAUCCGGAUUUAUUAGGUUUAAAGGGUGUGUAGGCGGUAUUUUAAGUCAGUGGUGAAAUCUUUCAGCUUAACUGAGAAACUGCCAUUGAUACUAGAAUACUUGAGUAUAGUUGAGGUAGGCGGAAUAUGUAAUGUAGCGGUGAAAUGCAUAGAUAUUACAUAGAACACCGAUUGCGAAGGCAGCUUACUAAACUAUUACUGACGCUGAUGCACGAAAGCGUGGGGAGCGAACAGGAUUAGAAACCCUAGUAGUCC